This 468-nucleotide ribosomal RNA is filed under the name uncultured bacterium. Its description in RNAcentral is "partial 16S ribosomal RNA". It matches the Rfam family "Bacterial small subunit ribosomal RNA", at positions 28 to 507 of the family's 1533-position model. The record is from RNAcentral.
GACGAACGCUGGCGGCGUGCUUAAUACAUGCAAGUCGAACGGAAAGACCCUGCUCUUGCUGGUUUCACGAGUGCCGAACGCGUGAGUAACACGCGAGUAACAUCUCCCUGUCAUUCUGAUAUCUUCACGAAACUGCGGCUAAUACCGCAUAUAAUCUACUGCUCCGUGUUGUGGAUUGGUAAGUUUCGGCGGUUGGGGAUGGACUCGCGGCUUAUCAGCUGCUUGGUGGGGUUGUGGAUUACCAAGGCUUUGACGGGUAGCCGGCCUGAGAGGCUGACCGGCGACAUUGGGCCUGAGAGACGGAGCAGAAUCGUACGGGAGGCAGCAGGGGGGAAUAUUGCAGAAUGAGCGGACGCCUGAUGCAGCAAUGCCGGGUGCGGGAUGACGGCCUUCUGGGUGUAAACCGAUUUCGACGGUGACGAAGCGUGAGUGACGGUAAUGGGUAAAGAAGCACCGGCUAACUACGUG